CCCACCAAUUCCGGACACACCUGGAAUUCUUUGGAAGGCUGAAGCAAGAGGAUCAUUUGAGGCCAGGAGUUUGAGAAAUUCUAUGUGAUAUAAAGCAGAUGCAUAAAAUUUGCCCACAUCUGCAACUUACUUAUAAAAUGUUUUUUUCAAGAGACUGGAACUUCUAGUGCAUAAAUACAGUUUGGGUUUAAAAACCCAGAAUCCUGAAAAAAAUGGCUCUACUUAAAAAACGACUGUUUUUGGUAGUUGAACAGUAAUUUAAAGGGCUCUUCAGUGACGUUAGAAAUCAUUAAAUCCAAUUCUUUCCUUUUAAAUGUAAGGAAGCUGUUGAAGAAAAGUCCCAUGCUGUGUUUUAUGUUUUGAAGGUAUCAGAACUUCUUAAAAAAUUAACUGCUGUAGCGGGGAGAGAGCAGAGGGUCUGCUUCUUCAAAUACUGGCGAUCACACCAUGGUUUUAUAUUGUUUUGGAAAUAACUUUUAGUUGAAAAACUUCGAGGAGUUCAUUCCGAGGCCAAAUGUGGAGAUGGCAUAACCAGAAGAGGGAACGAACUGGCCUGGAUGUGACUCAUGCUUGGAAGGGAGCUGUCUGGAAGGACCACAGUACCUGCAGCCAACUUUGUGUGAGAAAGAAGUGAAGUAUAGCCAUUGAGUAGGCUGCCAAUAGUGCCUGCCAGAGACACUCAGGAGAGAUUAUAUGCUAAAUCCACCAGACCCUUUGUCUAAGGGCAGGACGUCACCUCUUCAGAAACUGUUUUUCUUCUUGUGGUAAUUAUUAAUUCUCUGCAGUGAUUUAGAAGAAUUCUUGUACUAAAUGUCUUGCCAUUAAAAGUUUGAUGAGUAUAGAAACUGACAGUAGAACUAUUUUUAAAAGUAAUUCUACUUCUAACCCAAACUUCUUACUCUAGCUAUUAUUUUACCACGACGUGAGUUGUACGAAUCACCUCCAAUUUACAUAUUAUGGAAGAGCCUUACAUGGAAAAGAAGAAAUCAUUUUCAAAUUAGACAUUCCAUCUAGAACUGUCAGUAGCUGAUUCCCAUCACUGUCUUUUAUUUCUUCAUGCUUUUAGAUGAGAGUAAUCAUAUCUGCAGUAA
Molecule: long non-coding RNA, 1091 nt
Filed under: Homo sapiens (human)
Lineage: Eukaryota; Metazoa; Chordata; Mammalia; Primates; Hominidae
Description: HSALNT0301165
Source: RNAcentral